Molecule: ribosomal RNA, 406 nt
Filed under: uncultured bacterium
Lineage: Bacteria
Description: partial 16S ribosomal RNA
Rfam family: Bacterial small subunit ribosomal RNA
Source: RNAcentral
AUUGAACGCUGGCGGCAGGCCUAACACAUGCAAGUCGAGCGAGCGGCGGACGGGUGAGUAAUGUCUGGGAAACUGCCUGAUGGAGGGGGAUAACUACUGGAAACGGUAGCUAAUACCGCAUACCAUCAGAUGUGCCCAGAUGGGAUUAGCUAGUAGGUGGGGGAACGGCUCACCUAGGCGACGAUCCCUAGCUGGUCUGAGAGGAUGACCAGCAAAACGGGAACGGAGACACGGUCCAGAAGCCUACGGGAGGCAGCAGGGGGGAAUAGGGCAAAAUGGGCGCAAGCCGGAUGCAGCCAUGCCGCGUGUGGGAAGAAGGCCUUCGGGUUGUAAAGCACUUUCAGCGGGGAGGCGUUACCCGCAGAAGAAGCACCGGCUAACUCCGUGCCAGCAGCCGCGGUAAUAC